AUUCUGUACUAGAUCAGGAGAGAGAAUGUUGGUUCAAAUCUAAGAUGCAGAGCAGAUUGGUUAAGGACUAAGUUAGUUGAUCAUUUCCUAAGACAAGACUAGGACUAGCAGCAAAGGUGGUAUGGAUACUAUCAAGAUGAGAGGAGAAGUGGACAAACUGAAAACUAGUUCAAGGUCUAACUUUACAAACAUGACCUACCCACUGUGGCAUCCCUCUUACGCUUAGCCUGAUGUGCUUUGGUAGAGGAAGCACCACCCAUAUGAGUCUGCAUUUGCCAAAGGUGCCUUAGAAGAAAGGGAAAGAACUGGAACAGGUCAGCAAGUCCCAUGCUAAUGGGACUCAUGUCAAGCUGGGUCAAGUUGGGGUGUAGAUCUCUCAUUGAGAGCUAAAGCAUGGCGCUAAAAUAAGGGAAAGCAGAGACAUAGAAAACAAUCAAAUCUGAAGAAACCAGAGGAUGGAGAUGGAGGCUGUAGAACAAGGUGGGAAUGGAAGCUGGUGGAGAACAAUAAGGUCCUGCUGAGGAUCCCUGGUGCCCAGUAGGGAACACCGUGAGGAGGAGGAUUAAGAAAGGCACCCUUUCCACUGAUUUGCAUCGCCAUUUGUACAUGGAGUUUGGCUACAGCAAAAUCCGUUGCUAUCUCACCAGCUACAAGAAGCAAAGAACGAAUUGCAAUUCAUUUUUGUGCUCUAGGACCCGGUUGAGGAACACACCCUUCAAAGUGCUAAUGCUGUUCCAGCUCAGCAGACACCUCGUCUCGGGAAAGCCAUUAGAAACCCCCAAAAUACUACAUUUUUCUCCUGAGCUUUGAACCCUGAACCCAGCAUUCUGAGAGUGGGAACCAGAAAUGUGCAUUUGAAAAGACUCCCCAGGCAAUUCUGAUGAGGAGCCAGUGAGCCUGCUGAACCAGGUGACUACUGACAUCUCUUCUUUGAGUGACUUUCGACCAUCCCACAAAUGUCUGCUCGACGGUGUCCUGGAAGAGCUGGGUCAUGGCUCUCAUUACACACUACUCAGCAUCAUACACCAGGUUGUAUCACACAUCUCAUUCACACUACUGAGCAUCAUACACCAGGCUGUAUCACACUUUGUCCGGACUUCAUGAGUCUUCCAGUACAGUGAUGGGACGUAGGUUUUCUAGACUUGCCUAUGGGCUUCUCCUCUUUCCUAAUGAAGCUUCCACUCAUCCAAACGUCCUUUGAGGAGGAAAUUUAUCCAACUCACUCCACUGCAAAAGCUGGAGAACUGACAAGAUUCUUCCUGACCACUUCAGUGGCUAUGAUUAUAGGCAGUAUUGUGGUUUUCAUUUGCAAAAUGAGGAAUAAAGCUGCAGACAUUUCCAGUACUAGAAAUGGUCUGUUUGUAGCAUGAAGGUGCAUAUUCAUUUCUUUUUCUUUUUUCCUGACCCUUAAUCAUUUAUUACAUUUUUCUCCUGUUAAACAAGCUAUAUAGGCUGAAUACAAAGAAGUUUGAAAACACAGAAAGGUAAAAAAAUUAAAUUAAAUUAAGAUCAUCUGAAAUGUUAACUUCAAGAGAAAGUUAACAACUGUGAGCAUUCUGGUUUGUAUAUUCUUGCAGUCUUAUUUAAUUAAUUGCAUUUAUGUACUUUAAAAAAAGUAGAAUUAUAUUGUAUAUAUGGCUUUGAUUUCUUAAAAAUUAACAUUGUGAACAUGUGCAAGGAGUGUUUCUUAAAUUGCUCUUUCCAUUGUCACUUUUACUGGAGAUUAAAGUCUCAAAGUACAUUUUUUGACUUAGCAGAGGGAGAGCUGAGAUGUCUCAUUAAAGCUUGGCCGAGCGCCUUCUGUUACUGCUUAUUUACAUAAGUAGCUUUCCUAAAAUCAACGGCUCCCAUGAACAAGACAUAUAUAUUAAUGCCUCACAGUCCAAUAUAUGAUGAGAUAAAUGACCACUGCUUCCUUAUAUAAUGCGCACACACUUGCCUGAGACAAGUCAGCUGUUCUGAAACACAAGAUUAGGAAAUUCAAUUUCAUGUAUACAUUUCCAUGAAUCAAAAGUCAAAAUCAAAGGACAACCUUCUGUGUUACAGUGAACUCUGGAAGUAAGUGUAAAUAAGAUAAUAAGAUAUGCCCUACUUUGUUGUCAUCUUUUUUUUUUUUUUUGCUUUUUGUUUUUUGUUUGUUUUGAGAUGGAGUCUCACUCCGUCACCCAGGCUGGAGUGAAGUGGUGCAAUCUCGGCCCACUGCAACCUCCACCUCCUGGGUUCAAGCAAUUCUCAUGCCUCAGCCUCCCAAGUAGCUGUGAUUACAGGCGUGUGCCACCACGCCUAGCUAAUUUUUUGUAUUUUUACUAGAGACAGGGUUUCACCAUGUUGGCCAGGCUGGUCUUGAACUCUUAACCUCAGGUGAUCUGCCUGCUUCAGCCUCCCAAAGUGCUGAGAUUACAGGUGUGAGCCACUACACCUGGCCAGCUAUGCCCCACUUUGAACAAACAUUGCUAGAAUCUGGAAGAAUCUUCUGUUAGCCAAGGAUUGCUUUUGAGGUUCACUCCAAAAACUGAGCUACCACCGGGGACAAAUGGUCUCAUAAUUUUGAGUGUGUAAAGUGCAGCGAUUCCAGCUCAUGAGCACUAAUAUAAUUUUGGAAACAAUAUACCCACAACAGGCAUCGUCUAGAAAACUAACAGGAUCUCUUUUCCACUAGAGUGUAUUGUUGUUGACUAAGUGUUUUCAGUUAUUAAGCUGGAAGAGACAUGCUGGGGAGAAUGCUUUGGAGGAACAAGUAAGCACAGAACACAGAGAAUCAGGUAACUUAUUAUUUCUCACCUUUCUCUUUCCUUUGUAGAUAAUUAGCAAACAUUCCUUUCUCCACCUUAUCUCUUUGUUGAGGUCAUAUCAGCAAUUAUCUGCCCUCUGGUUUAUGCAAAACUACCUGAAUAAGUCAUAAUUCAGAAGAGCUUAUCAACUUUCUUCCAUGUCCCGUUGCCCAAAAAUAAUCAGCAAUGAAAUAUCUCAAACAUACAGAAAAAUAGAAGUAAACAAAACCACCUAGAUUUAUGAGCAGUUCACUCUCUAUCUACAUGCUUAAUAUAUUUUUAAUAAAGUCUUCAGUCAUCACUGCCACAUUUACAAGAAUACUUGGCCUUUUGGCUUGUCUUCUGAACAUAUUUUUGCAUGUAAGCCUUUUACAUAUUUCUCUGAAGUGGUUCGAAAUCCAUCAGCUCGAUGGUCUUUAUUGUUUCAAUAUGGCCCAAUCCACAGGGCAGAGCAUAUGACUGGUGUGGUGGUUGCUGCGUGGCUUUGAAGUCACACGGAUUUGAGUUCCAGUCCCUGCCUACUAGCUGAGCAAAUGUGGUCAAGGGUCUGUGACUGAAAUUCUCAUUGAUAAAGCAGGGAUAAUAAUACCUACCUUGUUGUCGAGAUGUCAUGAGGUGAUGUAAGCAAAGCAUCAGAACAGUACCUAGCACAUAGUAAGUGGUUAUCAUCAGCUUGUGUGUCUGCUGUAUAUGCUGAACUGCUUGAGUCCAUCUCCAAUUGAAGCUGUAUUUACCAGGAUCCACUCAACCACUACCUUGAUCAUUAACACCUCCUUAUUUGUGGACUCAUGAAUACAAGGCACUUGCAUCUGCGGGGCUUCAAACUUAGCCCAGUGAAAUGGCAGUCUUUUUUAGUUUUCUAAACACCUGGAGGUGACUUUUUCCCUGCCUCUGACUUUAAAAACAUAAUGAAAUUUUACAGAGUUUUAUAGCACUGAACUUUAUGUAAAAUCAAAAGAGCCCGUGAAAUAAGAGAGCAAUUGGUUGUAAGCAAGCCCCUUCAUGAACAUGGGCAUUUUUUUUUUAACGUCUUUGUAUCUGUGAGCAUCUCCUUCUCUUCCUAUCCUUAAGUGUAUUAUUUGUCAUGAAAGCAAAGUGCUUUUAAAAAAUUGUGUUUGAUUCCAUGGUUCCCAACAAUGGCUGGACUUCAAACUCACCUGUGGUGCUUAAGAUUAUAUAUCUGUAUACUUUUGUUUAAAAUGAAUAUUAUAAAAAUUUAUGUUUAAAAAUAUGUGUGUAUAUACAUACAUAGUUACAUACACCCAAGGCACAUAUGUGCAUGUGUAUACAUAACAUAUACACAUACAUACAUACACGCACACCACCACCAAAGCCCCACUAAAAAAAUACUGGAAUCUCUGGGAGUAAUGGGGGCAAAUAGGAGGAGUUAAUGUUCAGGUAAGGCUAUUAUGGACCCAUUGUUGAGAAUCACAGUGGGUUAAUUACUUGAAACAGUACCUAUCUAAAGGACAGUUAAAGAUUUUGGUAUUAACCAGAAAGUCUUUUUUUUUUUUUUCUUAAAUAAUUUUGCAGGCAAGAUGCUGCUGUUACAAGUUUUCUGUUCUGAAUUAUGUCUUCCAUAGGAAUGAAGCAUCCACACAGUCCAUCCAAGCAUACUGUGAAUCAAAACACAUGUCAUAGCUGGAACGAAAGCAUUAGGACCAUCUAACUGGAUUCCACUGGAAUGAGUCUCUGUGAAACCAUGCCGAAGUCUUUGUAAACAACCACCCUAAAGAAAGCUACAUGAAGAAUAGCCAAUAACAAAAGCACUGGAUUUAACUCAAUUUUGUGAAAAAACAAAAAAAACAAAUAUGAUGCACACACUCUAUCCUUUUGUGAACAAAAUGCCACCAAACAUUUGAAACUGGCCUAAGCAUACAUUGACAUGUUUGACAUGAAGCCCAGCCUUAUUGAUCAGCCUUUCCAAUACCCCCCGCCCCCCAUUCUUUAUUCCCAAUAGAUACAUCUUCUCACAGGUAAUUGGGCAGAAAAAUGCUUAUUGACUGAUCUUGAAAACUUCAAUGCAUCUAAAGCUGGAGAACAUUCAAAAACCAUGCUUCUCUUUAUUUAUUUCAGUUUCCAUGGCAAGAGGAAAAUAAAAGGCAACUGUUUUGAAAGCAACAACAGUAAACGAAGCAACAUCUCUGGCAAGCAGGCAAACCUUAAAGAGUAAAAGUUAUAAAUCCCCAUGUAGACAAUACCUUGUAGGUAUACCUUCCCCCAACCACGGGGAUGACUCUUAAUGGUGCUGACUAGGUAUAGACACCAACUUGGGACCAGUAAGUUAUUCUUAGAAGGUGCUAACUUUUGUAUUUUCUUUUAGGUUCUUGCUGCUAUGUUUCUCUUUCAAUUGACUUCCAGAAAUCAGACAGUGAAAUCAAUGGGGCUUUCCAGGCCACUGAAUUCAAAGUAAUCAGGGCAGGGUCAGAAUGCUGAUUGACUGUUUUCAACACACAGGGACCUGGAAUUUGGGUUCUAGCUCUAUCCCUCAGCACAGAGUCAGCAGACACAAUGCCCUAGAUGGUUGGAUUUUCUAGUGUCUGUGACAGGCAUCUUCAAAGCUGAUUCCUCUCCCUCUGAGAAAUCAAGGCCACCACCUUUAACUACUGACACAGUAGUGUACUUCCCGUACUGCAACCUCAGUCCCUUUUGUCACUUUUGCUUUGCAUUCAAGUGCCUUGGCCAGUGUUAACUGCAGCACUUUGAUUUCUCUUUCUAUAAAGACUAUCAAGUACCAAGUCAUUUGUUUCUGCAACCAUGUAACCCAAGGACAUAUUCUCCUGGAUGAAAUUCCAAGACCCCCCCCGCCACCAGAAGUCAGUGGAGAAUAGGCACAGAAAAGAUGAUGAAGGUCAUAGUUUCUAAUAAUUUGUUUUCUUUUUAAAAAAAAUUUUUAAUUUUUAUUUUUUUGAGACAGAAUCUCACUCCGUCACCCAGGCUGGGGUAUGGUGGCAUGAUCUCGGCUCACAGCAACCUCUGCCUUCCAGGUUUAAGUGAUUCUCCUGCCUCAGCCUCCUGAGUAGCUGGGAUUACAGCCGCAUGCCACCACGCCCAGCUAAUCGUUUGUAUUUUUAGUAGACACGGGGUUUCACCAUGUUGGCCAGACUGGUCUCGAACUCCUGACCUCAAGCGAUCUACCUGCCUUGGCCUUCCAGAGUGCUGGGAUUACAGGCAUGAGCCACCAAGCCCAACCAGUUUUCUUUCCUUUUUUUUUUUUUUUUUUUUUUUUUUUUCCUUUUUAAGGGAGGGGAUUCCCUCAGUGGGUUUACUUAGAGUGAAACGGUAUCUUGGCUUUGGACUUGCCCCUGCCUUCAUUCAUGUGGGUACUUUUUAUUUAACUUUUCAUUGUAGGUAGGCUCCCCUCUACCUAAAAAACCAAAGGGAAAAACCCCAAUUCUUUAAUUUACUCACAUCCUGUUACGCUUUCACAAGCUGUUCAUUUUCAUACCAAGCCUCAUCUUCUGCUGCCAACAUCCUAGUUUGAAGGAAAGGGGGAGACAGGUCAACUGGUAGUGGUCCUGUCCUCAAAGGGAGAGAACUCCUGGGUACCUCUUUCCAGCAGCCCUAGGCUAUUUCAAAAUGUCAGCAGGUCUAAUCCUAGAAGAAAACACCAUUUACUUCUCAACCUGCUGGGGCAUGGUGAGGUCUAAACAAUACAUUAACCAACAAAAUCUGCCAGUUCCUGAGAACUGCCAGAGAACUGCCUGAGAACUCAGAGAUAAACAGUAAGAGGUAUGGUCAACCUUCAGGGGAAUGAAGAGACUAUCUCAAUGCAGCAAAAAUAAAGGAAUUAAUGUGCUCUGCAGCUUUAGAAAGGAACUCUCCUUCCUGGGGGUGCCUCCGUGUCCCUGGCUCUAGGAGACUACCUAACCAGCAAGGUUGAUAGCAUGACCCUGGCUCCACUGAAAACUUGGGCCUAUAGACUGUCUUAUUCUAAAGGGUGCUUUUUAAUUCUAAUUUUUUUUUAAUUUUUAUUUAUUUUUUUUUGAGACAAGUUCUCACUCUGUUGCCCAGGAUGGAGUGCAGUGAUGCCAUUUAGGCUCACUGCACUUUUGACCUCUCAGGUUCAAACAACUCUCUCACCUCAGCCUCCUGAGUAGUGGGGACUACAGGCAUUCACCACCAUGCCCGGCUAAUCUUUUUUUUUUUUUUUUUUUUUUUGUAGAGACAGGUUUUUGCCAUGUUGCCCAAGCUGAUCUUGAACUCCUGGGCUCAAGCGAUCCACUUGCCUCAGCUGGGACUAUAGGUGUGAGCCACCGUGCCCACUCGAACCACUGGUCUUUUAAUGUUUUCAGCUCCAGCUGGCAAACCCAUUACCUGCUCUUCCUAGGCAGCAUCCCUUGGUCACUAUCCAGCCAUCUGUUACUGCCAAAGCAAAAGUCCAUGGCCCUCGAAGUGUGGGAACUCUGGCCAUCGGCUACUUAUCAUUUUGCCCUCUGAAAUCCUUAUAUUUCUUUCUGAAUUCACACACUCAGAAUUGGCAGUAUAUUCUUAAGCUAUGAAGUCCUCCACUAUAUGCCCAUCCCAAAAACCUAAGCGAGUAAGAUUAUUUAAUCUAGGAAAUGGUUAUUUACUCUAUAGAAAUCUGAUCUUCUCAUUGCCCAAUAACCAUGGAAUGCUGAAGAGUUGCCUCAGAUGGCAGGGAGCCUGCAUGCUAGCUCACACACUAUCCCUAAUAGCCAUUUAAUUUUGGGAAAAGACCCGUCUUUUCUCUGGACUUUAGUUUUCUCCUCUUUAGAAAUAAGAAGCUGGUUAGCCAAUCAGUCAUGUCUCUUUCAGGUAUAUGUUCUACGCUUUGCAACUGCAAAGUUGACAAUCUGAGAAUGUGUGCACGCCAAAGGGGCUUAAAAAAUAAUAUUAUCUAACACUUAAGCACUUGAUGUGUAUUAACUCAUUUAAUCCUUCAAUAACCAUAUGAGGUAGGUAUUAUAAUUAUUACCCCUAUAUUUUAGAUGAGAAAAGAAGAAAUAGAGAGAGGUUGAGUAACUUGACCCAUUAUCCAGUAGUUUUAAGGCUGGGGUUUGUAUUUUUAACCACCAUAUGCAGGAUAAUGGGCAGAUCUGAGGACUAAGCUUCCUUGACGUUUGCAUGCUUAGAAGGUUACAGAGGGAGUGUGAGAAUCACAGUUAAUCUGCAAAUCAAUGGUAUAUACCGAAAAUCAGGACAGGGGCCAGAGUGUCCUCACUGUUACCUGUUGGAUUCCCUUGGCAUUAUUUAGUGCACAACAUUACCAUAGGAAAAUCACAAGCACUUUUAUGGCAAUGGUGUAAAUUAGGAGGAUUCUGACAGUAAAGCCCAGAGUCAUUCCAAGAUAAAACGAUCAGUUUGGGAUCUCUUGGCCACCUACUGACCUGUCAGUGUAUUGAGGCAGUUUGGGGUAGGAAGUAUGUCAAAUGAUACUGGAGGAGGGAAUACAAGAGGCCGGGCAGAGAGUGACUUAUUUAUUAAUUAUCUAUUUAUUUAUUUUUGGUUGAGGCAGAGUCUCGCUAUGUUGCCUAGGCUGGUCUCGAACUCCCACCUUGGCUCCCAAAGUGCUGGGAUUACAGGUGUGAGCCACCAUGCCCAGCCCCAGAGAGUGACUCUUGACUAGUUUGGAGAAAUAAACUGACUUCAAGGGUCUUCAAAACACAGCCACUUGGAGGUCCUGACUGCCCUUUUCUGAUCUCCAGCAUGAGCCUCUGCAGAAGCAAGUGCCUUUCACUGAGUCUGACCCUAGCUGAGUGAGAUCUUUGCAGAGGAAAGGACAACAUGCUUAUUUUUUUUAAAUGGGCCCAUAAGAACCCCGAAACCAAACAAGAAAAUCAGGAAAGUUUCUUGUUAGUCUACUACAGACAGGUAGUGAUGAGAACUUGGAAUACUAUCUAGAUUCUGAGCUCAUUGCUCUAGGGCCCAGGGUCCCAAAUGGUGCCUCUUUUCAAUGCUUAUUUACCAUAGUUUCAUAGAAACAUGACCAAGUGUCAGUUAGUUCUUUACCCUUCGGGUUUUUUCCAUCAUUAAUCCUCUUGGCACAGGGUGGGGCUGAGCUGGGAACAAUAUCAUAUAACUCUAGUUGCAGCUGUCCUUAUGCAAACCAGCAUAUCCGCAAGUUACCAUGACCUUUUGGGGGAAACCAACAUAACAGUGCUGGUGGACACAGCUUCAGGCUGCUAGAGGUCACUGAUAUGUACCAUUGCAACUUGGAAGGAAUUCCAUAUAUUGAUACUUUCUUUGAUUCUAUCAACCAAACGGCUUUGUGGGGCACAUGCUAUAGUACUGAAUGAAAUACCUUUCUUUCCCUUGAGCCAAAAGCACAUAAUAAGCUAUAGAUUCUUUGCUGCUAUGCCAUUGAUUUACCUACUGUACUUUGUAACCCAGGAGGGCUAUGAAUCAUCCUUCCUAAUUUCAGCUUCACAAAACAGGUUGCUUUUAAUACAAUCUCUUCUUUAUCUAGAUUUAUUUGUUCUGAACCCUAACACAUUCUUAGGGCAUUAUUUCUUACUGAAGACAACUCUCCCUUAGUGUUUGUUUAAUGGUAAUUUUUUAUUCAAGUUCUUCCUGGGUGUCCGCUUGCCCUUUAAUUUUCUUUUUCACAGUGCUUUAUAUUCCUAGGAAUACCUGAGUCACAAGUGGUCAGAUUGCCAGCAUUCAGCAAUCCCAGGCAGGGGGCAGAUUUUAUUGCCUUUCUCUCUUCUCCUCCACGGGUUGCUCAACAGUGUUAACAUUCUGAUUUCUUUUAGGAGUGGAGCUCCAAGAUAAUCUCUUACCCUGCCCUUCUUACUCAUUAACUUUAAUUUCCAAAAAAUGCCGCCGAUACCAUUCAAACACUAGUUCAGGAAUUACCACGUGCUGGGCACUGUACUGGGUGCUGGAGAUACUGAGAAGAAGAAACAUGAUCUGUUCUCAGGAAGCUCACAAUAUGGUGAAUGUGAUAAUUAAGGUCAUGAUUAAACAAAGCAGGAAGUACUCCAAGAAAGGUGAGCAAGGCAUUACAGGUAUGCAGAGGAUUGCUUGACCCAACCUGGAAGAAUCCAGAAAAACUCAUCCAAGGCUGGGCACAGUAGCUCAUGCCUGUAAUCCCAGCACUUUGGGAGGCUGAGGUGGGCGGAUUGCCUGAGGUCAGGAGUUCAAGACCAGCCUGGCUAACAUGGUGAAAACCCAUCUCUACUAAAAAUACCAAAAAAUUAGCCAGUUAUGUUGGCGUACGCCUGCAGUCUCAGCUACUCGGGAGGCUGAGGCAGGAGAAUCGCUUGAACCCCCCGGGAGGUGGAGGUUGCACCGAGCCAAGAUCAUGCCAUGCACUCCAGUCUGGGCAACAGAGGGAGACUCUGUCUCAAACAAAACCCAUCCAAGAGCCAAGAAGAGGUUAUGCUUGACCUGAACCUUAAAAUACAAGUAGCUGUCAUUUUGGGGGAGUCCAAACAAUGGAUGGGUUGAUGUGGAUACAGCAAAGGACAUAAUUAAAGAGUCAUGGCCAGAUCAUGAAGGAUUUUGUUCCUCGGGCUAAGAAAUUUUAGCUUUACCUUAAAGUAGAGGAGCUACCAAUUCCGAGCUACAGCGAGGAAUCGUAAUAUAGCAUUGUAUCAUGUAUGAAAGGACAAAAUUCAUGCUACUUUCCUAAAAGUAAGAUUCUGUGUCCCCGUUUGCUUCAUCUAAUAUUGCUUCUUGGCCCCAGCAAUAGCACACAGAGCACCGGAAAACUAGUUCAGGCUUAUCACCAAUUCCUGAAGCCAGUCUACCUCUCCAGGACACUUAGAGCCAUGACCUUCUCCAAGCUCUCCAAGAUCGCUGUGCUUGUUGCAUAUUCUGGUCUGCAGAAGGUGAAAGGGUACUAAUCAUCCUAGAAGCCUUCCUGGAACAGGAUCUCUUUGCCUAGGGUCAUAAAAUGAGGGAUCCAGAUGGUACAGGGAAGUGUAAAUGGCAGUUGGAGAUGGGACAACAGUAAGUGCAGAGGCAGAGACACAGGUCAGCAGACCCCACAUGUGACAUGUCAAGUACAGGGAGUAGGGGAAGAGGUGGGAGACAUGGUACAAGAAGUCAAAAGAUCCACUGGUUCCCUGUAUUCCAUGAAAACGUUACUGUACAGAAUAUUACACAUUUCCAAGUUGGAGACACUAAAAUACAAAGGUACAAAUUGUCUAAGCGCAGAUAUGAGGCAGUGGCAAAUUAAUAAAACAAAUCACAUGCCUGUUUCUAACCUGUUUACCAUGGCCAAGAAGAGUCUGUGAAAUCAAGUUAGACAUUCUGUCUUUGAAAUCAUGCAUUCACAGAACUUAUGGAAGCUUUCAAGUGGAAAUGUCUUUACUCUUUAAAAAAAAAAAAAAAGCUCAAGUAAUGCCCUAAUCAUCUCUUAUUAUUGUUUGUAUCUGCAGGAUUUGGAAACUGCUCAGGAAAACAACUGGAUUCCUAAUAAUCCCUGAACAAUUCUUUUUUUUUUUCUUUUCCUGUGGACAUUAGCCUUUUAAUUUUUCCACAAGGAAUUCUGGGCCAAUUUAACUAAUAAAUAAUAACAGAAUUUUCUAA
Molecule: long non-coding RNA, 11270 nt
Organism: Homo sapiens (human)
Lineage: Eukaryota; Metazoa; Chordata; Mammalia; Primates; Hominidae
Exons: 4
Source: RefSeq, a predicted model, not a curated record